AAAGGCCCUUACUCUCCCACUAAAGACCAGUGGAAUCAUUCUGUUUCCUUUCAAUGCAAAUGUCUACUCUUUCUAUUAAGGCUACAAAAACGGACGUAUUACAAAGCACAGAAAGCGACAUUAGAUUUUUUCUGCUCCACCUGAAUAUUUUUUACAACCUUUCAAUUGUAACGGUGAAAUAUUCAUCCUUUAGUAAAAAAAAUUUAUGAUGUUGUUUUAUUUAUAUACUCUUAUACUUAUACAAAGCGAUUGCAAUUAUGUAUAUUCUUACAGCACCAAAUAAAAGCUAUUUACAUU
Molecule: long non-coding RNA, 297 nt
Organism: Physella acuta
Lineage: Eukaryota; Metazoa; Mollusca; Gastropoda; Physidae
Source: RefSeq, a predicted model, not a curated record